ACAGAUGGAGAAGUUUCCAAGGGGAGAAGCCUAAAGGGUAGAGGACAGAAGUAGGAAAGUAUUGAGUGCUUUAAAAAUUCAAUGCUGUAUUUUUCUUGUGAUUGAAGGGAAUGAAUACUGUGUACCCAGACAGCAAUAAACCUUCAGCUGCAGACCACUGAAAGAAAUCUAUAGACCACCAGUGUGGGAAACCUCAGCUUUAAGCUCUAAAUGAUUCAACAUUUGUGUUAUUCUGAAGGGGAGGAUAAAGAAACUGGCCACCAAGAUGGUAAUCACUAGUGGAAAUGAAGAAGAUAAAGGCAGUCAAGAAAAGGAAAGCAAAGAAGAAACCAUCUUGGCAAUGCUUGGAAUUAUUGGGACAAUUCUGAACCUCAUUGUGAUCAUUUUUGUGUAUAUUUAUACAACGUUGUAAACUAGAAGGCAUGCAAAUAGACCAGAUAAAACGGCCAUUAAGAGUGACAACAAACAUUGCUGACUAUUGACAAGUUCUUUAAUCAGAAUUGACUCUGUAUUAUAUUAACACAUCAUAAAAGCACUGCCUGAAGGCAGUGAAGACUGAAGCACAAUUAAUUGAACAAGACUUUUUCACACAGUAAUAAGCUUAACUCUUCUUCCUGCCCUCUCCCUUUCGGUUUGGUUUUCAGUUUGGGGGAGAAUGACUGCAGUUAUAUAAGUUGUAGCUUUGAAGAAAUCCAACAGGGAUAUGUUGUUUUAAAACAAUUAAAAAAAAAAAGGAAAAGUAAAUAAAAUACAAGAAAGGAAAAAAAAAAAGAAAAAGAAAGAAUCUGUAAACUAUAUAUAAUUAGAAAUGUAUGCUGUAUACCCGCAAAGAUUGAACUCAAAGAUAGCUUCAUAGCACAGAUCACGUGUCUGUUAGGUCAAAUGGUUUUUUCUCUUGGUUUUUGCUUUUACUUACAUUGAAUCUGACAAGCUUUUUAUUUAGAAUGAACAUAUGGUGCAAUCAUGAAAAAACAAUUCUGUUGAGCAAGGUCUGCCUAAACCUGAUAAAAUGUUGGGAGAAAUACAUUACAUGGUUAUUUUUCCUUUCUCAUUUGCUUAACAUCUGUGUCUGUUCAUACCAAUGUUUAUAAAUAUAUAUUUUUAAUAAAUGUGCUAUAUUUUUAGCAUGAACCAAAUAUUUGGAGACACUUGUAUUCAUGCAGCUAAAUUUUGUUUGAUUAAGUGCCCCUUUUGACAAUGGAUGUUAUUUUCCUCAGCAAUUAUACAGCAGUCUUGUU
This is a long non-coding RNA of Serinus canaria (Common canary), 1238 nucleotides long. RefSeq lists it as uncharacterized. The transcript is spliced from 3 exons. Lineage: Eukaryota; Metazoa; Chordata; Aves; Passeriformes; Fringillidae. The record is from RefSeq and is a predicted model, not a curated record.